CAGAGGGGCAAGCGUUAUUCGGAAUUAUUGGGCGUAAAGGGCGCGUAGGCGGCUUGGCAAGUGGAAGGUGAAAUCCCUCGGCUUAACCGAGGAACUGCCCUCCAAACUGCUUUGCUUGAGGCCGGGAGAGGCGAGUGGAAUUCCCAGUGUAGCGGUGAAAUGCGUAGAUAUUGGGAGGAACACCAGUGGCGAAGGCGGCUCGCUGGACCGGUUCUGACGCUGAGGCGCGAAAGCGUGGGGAGCAAACGGGAUUAGAUACCCCGGUAGUCCACGCUGUAAACGAUGAGUGCUUGGUGUAGCGGGUAUCGACCCCUGCUGUGCCGAAGUCAACACAUUAAGCACUCCGCCUGGGGAGUACGGUCGCAAGGCUG
RNAcentral lists this ribosomal RNA (371 nucleotides) under uncultured organism. RNAcentral describes it as "bacterial SSU rRNA". It matches the Rfam family "Bacterial small subunit ribosomal RNA", at positions 527 to 896 of the family's 1533-position model. The record is from RNAcentral.